Molecule: ribosomal RNA, 253 nt
Filed under: uncultured bacterium
Lineage: Bacteria
Description: partial 16S ribosomal RNA
Rfam family: Bacterial small subunit ribosomal RNA
Source: RNAcentral
UACAGAGGGUGCGAGCGUUAAUCGGAAUUACUGGGCGUAAAGGGCGCGUAGGCGGUUGUGUGAGUGUGGGGUGAAAGCCCCGGGCUUAACCUGGGAAGUGCAUUGCAAACGACACAACUGGAGUAGAUGAGAGGGUGGCGGAAUUUCCGGUGUAGCGGUGAAAUGCGUAGAUAUCUGGAGGAAUACCGGUGGCGAAGGCGGCAUCCUGGACCGGCAUUGACGCUGAGGAGCGAAAGCCAGGGGAGCAAACGGG